Molecule: ribosomal RNA, 547 nt
Filed under: uncultured eukaryote
Lineage: Eukaryota
Description: bacterial SSU rRNA
Rfam family: Eukaryotic small subunit ribosomal RNA
Source: RNAcentral
UGGUUGAUCCUGCCCGUUCUCAUAUGCUUGUCUCAAAGAUUAAGCCAUGCAUGUCUAAGUAUAAACCUCCUUAUACAGUGAAACUGCGUACAGCUCAUUAUAUCAGUUAUUAUUUAUUUGAUGGUACCUUACUACAUGGAUACCCCUAGAAAUUCUACAGCUAAUACAUGCGUAAAGUCCCGACUUUUUGGAAGGGAUGUAUUUAUUAGAUUAAAAACCAGUGCAAGCUACUGCUCCUUUGGUGAUUCAUAGAAACUUUAACGGAUCGCACGGCUUCACGUCGGCCACAGUUCAUUCAAAUUUCUGCCCUAUCAUCUUUCAACAGUACUGUCCUGGACUACCGUGGCAUUAACGGGUGACGGAUAAUUACGGUUCUUAUUCCGGAGAGGGAGCCUGAAAAACAGCUACCACAUCCAAGGAAGGCAGCAAGCGCGCAAAUUACCCAAUCCUGACACAAGGAGGUAGUGACAAAAAAUAACAAUACCUGGCCUUUUUAGGUCUGGUAAUUGGAAUGAGUACAAUUUACAUCCCUUAACGAGUAUCCAUU